Molecule: long non-coding RNA, 278 nt
Filed under: Homo sapiens (human)
Lineage: Eukaryota; Metazoa; Chordata; Mammalia; Primates; Hominidae
Description: HSALNT0313965
Source: RNAcentral
AAAAAAAUCUGGGAUAAAAAAAUCCAAAUCUUCCUAACUCCACAUUCAGGGAAAUUAUUUGAGGAAGUGACCACAGAUGAAACUGUUUCCAGAUGUCUACAAAGGUUUUUGGGUUUUGUGGGGACUGAAGUACAGCAGGAAGCAGCAUAAGCAGACAGAAAGAAGCCUUAGUGUGAUUGAACGAACAUAGAGAAAGAAGAGCCAGGAACCACAGAGACAGCAAAGUAAUGGUCAGACACACAACCCUGGAGCCUGCCCAACUUGUGUACCUCUUAUUA